AAGUGCGAUAGGGGGAUCCCAAGUGCGCAGGCAUAGCGCCUGUGCUUUUCGGUACCCUAAGGCGGUACCAGAAUAAGGGCUGGGCAAGACCGGUGCCAGCCGCCGCGGUAAUACCGGCAGCCCAAGUGAUGGCCGAUCUUAUUGGGCCUAAAGCGUCCGUAGCUGGCCGCGCAAGUCCAUCGGGAAAUCCACCUGCCCAACAGGUGGGCGCCCGGUGGAAACUGCGUGGCUUGGGACCGGAAGGCGCGACGGGUACGUCCGGGGUAGGAGUGAAAUCCCGUAAUCCUGGACGGACCGCCGAUGGCGAAAGCACGUCGCGAGAACGGAUCCGACAGUGAGGGACGAAAGCCAGGGUCUCGAACCGGAUUAGAUACCCGGGUAGUCCUGGCCGUAAACAAUGUCUGCUAGGUGUGGCUCCCACUACGAGUGGGUGCUGUGCCGUAGGGAAGCCGCUAAGCAGACCGCCUGGGAAGUACGUCCGCAAGGAUGAAACUCAAAA
RNAcentral lists this ribosomal RNA (499 nucleotides) under uncultured bacterium. RNAcentral describes it as "bacterial SSU rRNA". It matches the Rfam family "Archaeal small subunit ribosomal RNA", at positions 363 to 861 of the family's 1478-position model. The record is from RNAcentral.